UGCCAGCAGCCGCGGUAAUACGGAGGGUGCAAGCGUUACUCGGAAUCACUGGGCGUAAAGAGAAUGUAGGCGGGUAAUUAAGUCAGAAGUGAAAUCCAAUAGCUCAACUAUUGAACUACUUUUGAAACUGGUUAUCUAGAAUAUGGGAGAGGUAGAUGGAAUUUCUGGUGUAGGGGUAAAAUCCGUAGAGAUCAGAAGGAAUACCGAUUGCGAAGGCGAUCUACUAGAACAUUAUUGACGCUUAGAUUCGAAAGCGUGGGGAGCAAACAGGAUUAGAUA
This 279-nucleotide ribosomal RNA is filed under the name uncultured bacterium. Its description in RNAcentral is "partial 16S ribosomal RNA". It matches the Rfam family "Bacterial small subunit ribosomal RNA", at positions 506 to 784 of the family's 1533-position model. The record is from RNAcentral.